AACGAACGCUGGCGGCAUGCCUAACACAUGCAAGUCGAACGAGACCUUCGGGUCUAGUGGCGCACGGGUGCGUAACGCGUGGGAACCUGCCCUUAGGUUCGGAAUAACUCCCCGAAAGGGGUGCUAAUACCGGAUAAUGUCUUCGGACCAAAGAUUUAUCGCCUUUGGAUGGGCCCGCGUUGGAUUAGCUAGUUGGUAGGGUAAAAGCCUACCAAGGCGACGAUCCAUAGCUGGUCUGAGAGGAUGAUCAGCCACACUGGGACUGAGACACGGCCCAGACGCCUACGGGAGGCAGCAGUGGGGAAUAUUGGACAAGGGGCGAAAGCCUGAUCCAGCAAUGCCGCGUGAGUGAUGAAGGCCUUAGGGUUGUAAAGCUCUUUUACCCGGGAUGAUAAUGACAGUACCGGGAGAAUAAGCUCCGGCUAACUCCGU
RNAcentral lists this ribosomal RNA (432 nucleotides) under uncultured bacterium. RNAcentral's name for it is "partial 16S ribosomal RNA". It matches the Rfam family "Bacterial small subunit ribosomal RNA", at positions 29 to 506 of the family's 1533-position model. The record is from RNAcentral.